GAUGAAGAACGCAGCGAAAUGCGAUAAGUAAUGUGAAUUGCAGAAUUCAGUGAAUCAUCGAAUCUUUGAACGCACAUUGCGCCCCCUGGUAUUCCGGGGGGCAUGCCUGUCCGAGCGUCAUUACAACCCUCAAGCUCAGCUUGGUGUUGGGCCCCGCCGCCCCGGCGGGCCCUAAAGUCAGUGGCGGUGCCGUCCGGCUCCGAGCGUAGUAAUUCUUCUCGCUCUGGAGGUCCGGUCGUGUGCUCGCCAGCAACCCCCAAUUUUUGUCAGGUUGACCUCGGAUCAGGUAGGGAUACCCGCUGAACUUAAGCAUAUCAAUAAGCGGAGGA
RNAcentral lists this unclassified non-coding RNA (329 nucleotides) under soil metagenome. Its description in RNAcentral is "partial contains 5.8S ribosomal RNA, internal transcribed spacer 2, and large subunit ribosomal RNA". The stretch from base 1 to 120 matches the Rfam family "5.8S ribosomal RNA", at positions 35 to 154 of the family's 154-position model. The record is from RNAcentral.